Long non-coding RNA from Passer domesticus (house sparrow), 622 nucleotides. RefSeq lists it as uncharacterized. The record is from RefSeq and is a predicted model, not a curated record. NCBI's taxonomy places the organism in Eukaryota, Metazoa, Chordata, Aves, Passeriformes, Passeridae. The transcript has 3 exons.
UCCAGUACCACCCUCUGCAAUGUCCAGAGCAGCACAGGGCCAGUGGCGCCCACACAUGGGCCUGCUUCUAAGAGAGUGACACAGAGCAGAGUCUCUAAGCAAAGAGCCUUCAAUUCCAGCCCAGUGUCACCCAGAACCCCCGGAAUGUCCUUUGGUGGGACUGCACAGAGGUGCUCGGGCAGUGCAGGGAAUGAGGAGCUGAGGGAGCUGUGCACAGAGAUGGUUUGAAUUGUGCAUCUGGUGGAAGUCCUCUGGAUGAUUGUUUCUUUAAACAACACUCAUCAAUGCUGGACCCAGGAAUCAAGUUAAUUUCUUCUGAGCAAUUAAAAAGGAGCAAACUUGGAUCCUCUAUGGUGCGUUUCUGAGAUGAAUAAACUCAGCCUCAAGAGUGUUUCAUCUAAUUGAGGUGUUUUGCAUUGAAAAUGGAUAGUUUCAUUGUUGAAUGUUUUGGCUUCUGAUGUGGGAGACAAAGUGGUAAAUUAUUAAGGUACCUGUGCUUGGUACUUGGCUUCUUCUAUUAACCUUUUAAUGCCUAGUAGCAUUCCAUUAUUUUGGAGCAGGGGGGAGACAGCACCACUGAAAGAAGCAAGCAAAAAUAAUGGACCAAAAAUAUUAACACAGU